CCUUCGAUAGCUCAGCUGGUAGAGCGGAGGACUGUAGUUGACUCCAAGGAGACAUCCUUAGGUCGCUGGUUCGAUUCCGGCUCGAAGGA
Molecule: transfer RNA, 89 nt
Filed under: Mesocricetus auratus (golden hamster)
Lineage: Eukaryota; Metazoa; Chordata; Mammalia; Rodentia; Cricetidae
Rfam family: tRNA
About the family: Transfer RNA (tRNA) molecules are approximately 80 nucleotides in length. Their secondary structure includes four short double-helical elements and three loops (D, anti-codon, and T loops).
Source: Rfam by way of RNAcentral